RNAcentral lists this ribosomal RNA (735 nucleotides) under uncultured bacterium. RNAcentral's name for it is "bacterial SSU rRNA". It matches the Rfam family "Bacterial small subunit ribosomal RNA", at positions 28 to 776 of the family's 1533-position model. The record is from RNAcentral.
GACGAACGCUGGCGGCGCUUCUAACACAUGCAAGUCGAACGAGCGAGAGAGAGCUUGCUUUCUCGAGCGAGUGGCGAACGGGUGAGUAACGCGUGAGGAACCUGCCUCAAAGAGGGGGACAACAGUUGGAAACGACUGCUAAUACCGCAUAAGCCCACAGCUCGGCAUCGAGCAGAGGGAAAAGGAGCGAUCCGCUUUGAGAUGGCCUCGCGUCCGAUUAGCUAGUUGGUGAGGUAACGGCCCACCAAGGCGACGAUCGGUAGCCGGACUGAGAGGUUGAGCGGCCACAUUGGGACUGAGACACGGCCCAGACUCCUACGGGAGGCAGCAGUGGGGAAUAUUGCACAAUGGGGGAAACCCUGAUGCAGCGACGCCGCGUGGAGGAAGAAGGUCUUCGGAUUGUAAACUCCUGUUGUUGAGGAAGAUAAUGACGGUACUCAACAAGGAAGUGACGGCUAACUACGUGCCAGCAGCCGCGGUAAAACGUAGGUCACAAGCGUUGUCCGGAAUUACUGGGUGUAAAGGGAGCGCAGGCGGGAAAGCAAGUUGGAAGUGAAAUCCACGGGCUCAACCCAUGAACUGCUUUCAAAACUGUUUUUCUUGAGUAGUGCAGAGGUAGGCGGAAUUCCCGGUGUAGCGGUGGAAUGCGUAGAUAUCGGGAGGAACACCAGUGGCGAAGGCGGCCUACUGGGCACCAACUGACGCUGAGGCUCGAAAGUGUGGGUAGCAAACAGG